GAUGAAUUCCAGAAUAUGUUCCAGUUGCUGUUGGCUGGAGGAAAUCACCUCCUUCCUAGGAAAGCACCAAGGAUGUGGUGUGGGGCAGAGCAGGCUGAACUCCACAAAGGGAAGGGAAACCCCUUAACACCAUUUGCCCGGGUAGACUUUUGAAGGACUUCAGGCACUGCUGUUCCUUCCCUGAAUUGCUGAGAAAAUGCCUAAGACAGCAGGAAAGCUGAAGAAAGGGCACAAGUGGGACAGACAGAAACAUACCCAAAUGAUAAAGAAGUUUUAUACAAUUUAGCUUCUCUCACAGUGGUGAUGUCAUCCUUUCAGAUGAGAGUCAGGACCCUCAAG
Molecule: long non-coding RNA, 339 nt
Filed under: Homo sapiens (human)
Lineage: Eukaryota; Metazoa; Chordata; Mammalia; Primates; Hominidae
Description: HSALNT0221250
Source: RNAcentral